Molecule: transfer RNA, 74 nt
Filed under: Deltaproteobacteria bacterium HGW-Deltaproteobacteria-12
Lineage: Bacteria; Deltaproteobacteria
Description: tRNA-Gln
Rfam family: tRNA
About the family: Transfer RNA (tRNA) molecules are approximately 80 nucleotides in length. Their secondary structure includes four short double-helical elements and three loops (D, anti-codon, and T loops).
Source: RNAcentral
UGAGGGGUCGUCUAACGGUAGGACAUCAGACUCUGGCUCUGAUUAUUGAGGUUCGAAUCCUCGCCCCUCAGCCA